This 274-nucleotide ribosomal RNA is filed under the name uncultured bacterium. Its description in RNAcentral is "partial 16S ribosomal RNA". The record is from RNAcentral.
CUGCUGCCUUCCGUAGGAGUCUGGUCCGUGUCUCAGUACCAGUGUGGGGGACCUUCCUCUCAGAACCCCUACGCAUCGUCGCCUCGGUGGGCCGUUACCCCGCCGACUAGCUAAUGCGCCGCAUGCCCAUCCGCCACCGGAUCGCUCCUUUGGCCACCGGAGGAUGCCCUCCGGUGGCGUCACGGGGUAUUAGGCCGCGUUUCCGCGGGUUAUCCCCCUGUGGCGGCCAGGUUGCAUACGUGUUACUCACCCGUGCGCCGGUCGCCGGCGGGCG